UACGAAGGGGGCUAGCGUUGUUCGGAAUCACUGGGCGUAAAGGGCGCGUAGGCGGCCGCUCAAGUCGGGGGUGAAAGCCUGUGGCUUAACCACAGAAUUGCCUUCGAUACUGUUUGGCUUGAGACCGGAAGAGGUUAGUGGAACUGCGAGUGUAGAGGUGAAAUUCGUAGAUAUUCGCAAGAACACCAGUGGCGAAGGCGGCUCACUGGCCCGGUACUGACGCUGAGGUGCGAAAGCGUGGGGAGCAAACAGG
This 253-nucleotide ribosomal RNA is filed under the name uncultured bacterium. Its description in RNAcentral is "partial 16S ribosomal RNA". It matches the Rfam family "Bacterial small subunit ribosomal RNA", at positions 524 to 776 of the family's 1533-position model. The record is from RNAcentral.